RNAcentral lists this ribosomal RNA (710 nucleotides) under Staphylococcus epidermidis. RNAcentral describes it as "bacterial SSU rRNA". It matches the Rfam family "Bacterial small subunit ribosomal RNA", at positions 40 to 732 of the family's 1533-position model. Lineage: Bacteria; Bacillati; Bacillota; Bacilli; Caryophanales; Staphylococcaceae. The record is from RNAcentral.
CGGCGUGCCUAAUACAUGCAAGUCGAGCGAACAGACGAGGAGCUUGCUCCUCUGACGUUAGCGGCGGACGGGUGAGUAACACGUGGAUAACCUACCUAUAAGACUGGGAUAACUUCGGGAAACCGGAGCUAAUACCGGAUAAUAUAUUGAACCGCAUGGUUCAAUAGUGAAAGACGGUUUUGCUGUCACUUAUAGAUGGAUCCGCGCCGCAUUAGCUAGUUGGUAAGGUAACGGCUUACCAAGGCAACGAUGCGUAGCCGACCUGAGAGGGUGAUCGGCCACACUGGAACUGAGACACGGUCCAGACUCCUACGGGAGGCAGCAGUAGGGAAUCUUCCGCAAUGGGCGAAAGCCUGACGGAGCAACGCCGCGUGAGUGAUGAAGGUCUUCGGAUCGUAAAACUCUGUUAUUAGGGAAGAACAAAUGUGUAAGUAACUAUGCACGUCUUGACGGUACCUAAUCAGAAAGCCACGGCUAACUACGUGCCAGCAGCCGCGGUAAUACGUAGGUGGCAAGCGUUAUCCGGAAUUAUUGGGCGUAAAGCGCGCGUAGGCGGUUUUUUAAGUCUGAUGUGAAAGCCCACGGCUCAACCGUGGAGGGUCAUUGGAAACUGGAAAACUUGAGUGCAGAAGAGGAAAGUGGAAUUCCAUGUGUAGCGGUGAAAUGCGCAGAGAUAUGGAGGAACACCAGUGGCGAAGGCGACUUUCUGG